ACGGAGAGUUUGAUCCUGGCUCAGAACUAACGCUAGUGGCGUGUCUUAGUCAUGCGAGUCGAGCGAGAAAGUCUUCUUCGGAAGACGAGUAGAGCGGCGAACGGGUGAGUAACGCGUGGGUAAUCUUCCUUUGAGUUGGGGAUAACAUUCCUAACGGAAUGCUAAUACCGAAUGUGGAGUACGGUUCUUGGGCCGUACUCUAAAGGCGGCCUCUGCUUGCAUGCUGUCGCUCGAAGAUGAGCCCGCGUCCUAUUAG
This 256-nucleotide ribosomal RNA is filed under the name Candidatus Latescibacterota bacterium. RNAcentral describes it as "partial 16S ribosomal RNA". It matches the Rfam family "Bacterial small subunit ribosomal RNA", at positions 1 to 244 of the family's 1533-position model. Lineage: Bacteria; Pseudomonadati; Candidatus Latescibacterota. The record is from RNAcentral.